RNAcentral lists this unclassified non-coding RNA (167 nucleotides) under uncultured Gibberella. Its description in RNAcentral is "sequence contains ITS2". Lineage: Eukaryota; Fungi; Ascomycota; Sordariomycetes; Hypocreales; Nectriaceae. The record is from RNAcentral.
CAACCCUCAAGCCCCCGGGUUUGGUGUUGGGGAUCGGGUCCUGCGAGCAAUCGCGGCCCGGCCCCGAAAUCUAGUGGCGGUCUCGCCGCGGCCUCCUUUGCGUAGUAGCUAACACCCCGCAACUGGAACGCGGCGCGGCCAAGCCGUUAAACCCCCCAACUUCUGAA